CCAGACUCCUACGGGAGGCAGCAGUGAGGAAUAUUGGUCAAUGGUCGGGAGACUGAACCAGCCAAGCCGCGUGAGGGAGGAAGGUACAGAGUAUCGUAAACCUCUUUUGUCAGGGAACAAAGGCGGGGACGUGUCCCCGGAUGAGUGUACCUGAAAAAAAAGCAUCGGCUAACUACGUGCCAGCAGCCGCGGUAAUACGUAGGGAGCGAGCGUUAUCCGGAUUUAUUGGGUGUAAAGGGUGCGUAGACGGGGAGUUAAGUUAGUUGUGAAAUCCCAAGGCUCAACUUUGGAACUGCAACUAAAACUAAUUUUCUUGAGUACUGGAGAGGAAAGUGGAAUUCCUAGUGUAGCGGUGAAAUGCGUAGAUAUUAGGAGGAACACCAGUGGCGAAGGCGACUUUCUGGACAGAAACUGACGUUGGGGCACGAAAGUGUGGGGAGCAAACAGGAUUAGAUACCCUGGUAU
This 465-nucleotide ribosomal RNA is filed under the name uncultured bacterium. Its description in RNAcentral is "bacterial SSU rRNA". It matches the Rfam family "Bacterial small subunit ribosomal RNA", at positions 331 to 793 of the family's 1533-position model. The record is from RNAcentral.